GAGUACCUUUUCGUUUCCUCGGUGGGCUCGCCCGCCGGUGGACAACCAAAACUCUUUGUAAUAGCAGUAUCUUCUGAAAAAAACAAAUAGUCAAAACUUUCAACAACGGAUCUCUUGGUUCUGGCAUCGAUGAAGAACGCAGCGAAAUGCGAUAAGUAGUGUGAAUUGCAGAAUUCAGUGAAUCAUCGAAUCUUUGAACGCACAUUGCGCCCUUCGGUAUUCCGUUGGGCAUGCCUGUUCGAGCGUCUAUUAGAAACUUCAAGCUCAGCUUGGUGUUGGGUGCUUGUCCGCCGCCCGCGGCGGACUCACCUCAAAUGCAUUGGCGGCCGGUAUGUUGGCUACAGCGCAGUACAACGCGUCUGGCGUCUUGAUACACUGGUCCUCCAG
This 387-nucleotide unclassified non-coding RNA is filed under the name Ascomycota cf. Pleosporales OTU_018. RNAcentral's name for it is "sequence contains ITS1, 5.8S rRNA gene and ITS2". The stretch from base 95 to 248 matches the Rfam family "5.8S ribosomal RNA". The record is from RNAcentral. Lineage: Eukaryota; Fungi; Ascomycota.